GAUGAACGCUGGCGGCGUGCCUAAUACAUGCAAGUCGAGCGAACAGACGAGGAGCUUGCUCCUCUGACGUUAGCGGCGGACGGGUGAGUAACACGUGGAUAACCUACCUAUAAGACUGGGAUAACUUCGGGAAACCGGAGCUAAUACCGGAUAAUAUAUUGAACCGCAUGGUUCAAUAGUGAAAGACGGUUUUGCUGUCACUUAUAGAUGGAUCCGCGCCGCAUUAGCUAGUUGGUAAGGUAACGGCUUACCAAGGCAACGAUGCGUAGCCGACCUGAGAGGGGGAUCGGCCACACUGGAACUGAGACACGGUCCAGACUCCUACGGGAGGCAGCAGUAGGGAAUCUUCCGCAAUGGGCGAAAGCCUGACGGAGCAACGCCGCGUGAGUGAUGAAGGUGUUCGGAUCGUAAAACUCUGUUAUUAGGGAAGAACCAAUGUGUAAGUAACUAUGCACGUCUUGACGGUACCUAAUCAGAAAGCCACGGCUAACUACGUG
RNAcentral lists this ribosomal RNA (497 nucleotides) under uncultured bacterium. RNAcentral describes it as "partial 16S ribosomal RNA". It matches the Rfam family "Bacterial small subunit ribosomal RNA", at positions 28 to 507 of the family's 1533-position model. The record is from RNAcentral.